This 510-nucleotide ribosomal RNA is filed under the name uncultured diatom. RNAcentral's name for it is "SSU rRNA". It matches the Rfam family "Eukaryotic small subunit ribosomal RNA", at positions 493 to 1004 of the family's 1831-position model. The record is from RNAcentral. Lineage: Eukaryota; Bacillariophyta.
UUCUUAAGUCUGGUAAUUGGAAUGAGUACAAUCUAAAUCCCUUAUCGAGUAUCAAUUGGAGGGCAAGUCUGGUGCCAGCAGCCGCGGUAAUUCCAGCUCCAAUAGCGUAUAUUAAAGUUGUUGCAGUUAAAAAGCUCGUAGUUGGAUUUGUGGUGUGUCCAGUCGGCCUUUGCUCUUUGAGUGAUUGUGCUGUACUGGUCUGCCAUGUUUGGGUGGAAUCUGUGUGGCAUUAGGUUGUCGUGCAGGGGAUGCCCAUCGUUUACUGUGAAAAAAUUAGAGUGUUCAAAGCAGGCUUAUGCCGUUGAAUAUAUUAGCAUGGAAUAAUAAUAUAGGACCUUGGUACUAUUUUGUUGGUUUGCGCACUAAGGUAAUGAUUAAGAGGGACAGUUGGGGGUAUUUGUAUUCCAUUGUCAGAGGUGAAAUUCUUGGAUUUUUGGAAGACAAACUACUGCGAAAGCAUUUACCAAGGAUGUUUUCAUUAAUCAAGAACGAAAGUUAGGGGAUCGAAGA